AUACUUACCUGGCAGGGGAGAUACCAUGAUCACAAAGGUGGUUUUCCCAGGGCAAGGCUUAUCCAUUGCACUCCGGAUGUGCUGACCCCUGACAUCUCCCCAAAUGUGGGAAACUCAACUACAUAAUUCAUGGUAGUAGCGGACUGUGUUCUUACUUUCCCCUG
Molecule: small nuclear RNA, 164 nt
Filed under: Saimiri boliviensis boliviensis (Bolivian squirrel monkey)
Lineage: Eukaryota; Metazoa; Chordata; Mammalia; Primates; Cebidae
Description: U1 spliceosomal RNA (ENSSBOG00000020227.1)
Rfam family: U1 spliceosomal RNA
About the family: U1 is a small nuclear RNA (snRNA) component of the spliceosome (involved in pre-mRNA splicing). Its 5' end forms complementary base pairs with the 5' splice junction, thus defining the 5' donor site of an intron. There are significant differences in sequence and secondary structure between metazoan and yeast U1 snRNAs, the latter being much longer (568 nucleotides as compared to 164 nucleotides in human).
Source: Rfam by way of RNAcentral